This 721-nucleotide ribosomal RNA is filed under the name uncultured bacterium. RNAcentral's name for it is "bacterial SSU rRNA". It matches the Rfam family "Bacterial small subunit ribosomal RNA", at positions 28 to 743 of the family's 1533-position model. The record is from RNAcentral.
AUUGAACGCUGGCGGCAUGCCUUACACAUGCAAGUCGAACGGUAACAGCGGGGGCAACCCUGGCGACGAGUGGCGAACGGGUGAGUAAUACAUCGGAACGUACCCAGUAGUGGGGGAUAGCUCGGCGAAAGCCGGAUUAAUACCGCAUACGACCUACGGGUGAAAGGGGGGGAUCGCAAGACCUCUCGCUAUUGGAGCGGCCGAUAUCAGAUUAGCUAGUUGGUGGGGUAAAAGCUCACCAAGGCGACGAUCUGUAGCUGGUCUGAGAGGACGACCAGCCACACUGGGACUGAGACACGGCCCAGACUCCUACGGGAGGCAGCAGUGGGGAAUUUUGGACAAUGGACGCAAGUCUGAUCCAGCCAUGCCGCGUGCGGGAAGAAGGCCUUCGGGUUGUAAACCGCUUUUGUCAGGGAAGAAAAGUUUGGGGCUAAUAACCUCGGAUGAUGACGGUACCUGAAGAAUAAGCACCGGCUAACUACGUGCCAGCAGCCGCGGUAAUACGUAGGGUGCAAGCGUUAAUCGGAAUUACUGGGCGUAAAGCGUGCGCAGGCGGUUCUAUAAGACAGAUGUGAAAUCCCCGGGCUCAACCUGGGAACUGCAUUUGUGACUGUAGAGCUGGAGUGCGGCAGAGGGGGAUGGAAUUCCGCGUGUAGCAGUGAAAUGCGUAGAUAUGCGGAGGAACACCGAUGGCGAAGGCAAUCCCCUGGGCCUGCACUGA